Long non-coding RNA from Ooceraea biroi (clonal raider ant), 1344 nucleotides. RefSeq lists it as uncharacterized. The record is from RefSeq and is a predicted model, not a curated record. NCBI's taxonomy places the organism in Eukaryota, Metazoa, Arthropoda, Insecta, Hymenoptera, Formicidae.
UCACGUUGUUAUAUUGUUUAAAGGGGACAAUCAUCUUUACUUUGGACUUCCAGUCUGGAUGGUCGGACACCAAAAGCCAGUCUUGUAAGGCAGUCAACCUCGUCGAGUGUUUGCCGCCGCUGGUAUUUACCGAGUGGAUGACAGUAGUCGUGUCUCUUCGCGCGGAUCGACACGAUCUACAGAUCGACUAACAGAGGGACGUUACGCAGGGACAGGAGGAAAGGAAGGUCGUAGAAAGCCGAGACAGGACAAUGCAACGGCGAGGGCUGCCGAGGGCCCUAUGGGUCCAUGGUGCACGGCUUCGUGGCUUCGUGUCCGCAGGGCGCGAUGUUUAUCGGCUCUUUCGAUGUAAAUUAUGGCCAUACGCUAUACAGUUCGCUACACCACAGCGCGCAAAAGUAUCCGGGCCCCAAGUUCCAGGGCCGGACCCACGCUUCCGCAGGUAGGUUUCUAAUAAGUCUCUGGCCGUGUCGCAUCGAUUACCUCGUCACUUAGGACGCAAAUCGUAAACGAAAAGGGGUGUAUCGAAUUUCGAAAUUCGCGAAACCGGAACUUUUAAUUUAUGCAAUGAACGGGAAAUUACCCUCUAGUGUCGCAAAAGAUCAUAAGCAGGAUAACAAUGAACGUAAAUAAUCAAAUAAGCAAUACAAUAAUCCAAAUCGCAAACUCCAGAACCGAAAAGUUCAAAAUCGAGUGAAAGCAGGAUAAAGAAAAAAGGCAUUAUGCCAACCAAAUAUUCUGAUUAAAGUCGUUAAAAAAGACAAAUAAAUUCCAUUGCACACAAAGAAUAUUCGUAUUACAGCCCAAUAAAAUUAAUUAAACGCAUGUAACUUAAACUUAAUAAACGCAUAUCAAGACAACUAAAUUCAAUUGCACACAAAGAAUAAAGAUACAGCCUAAUAAAAUUAAUUAAACGCAUGUAACUUAAACUUAAUAAACGCAUAUAGCAAGUAAAAAAGUCCAAGAACGCAAUAGAACAUUAAGGCAAGACAGAUGCAAAUACGAACGCAACGUAUGCAAAAUAAAAAUAAGCUAAAGUAAAUACAAACCCUGAUACAAACGCAAGGCAUAAAGGCAUAAUCACAAUAACCUAGCCGCAUGUAACAGUGUAUAAGUAUGCAAGGUAUAAAGAUAUAAUCAUAAUAACCUAACCGGAUGUAAUAGUAUAAAAGUAUACAAAAUUCAAUAUUGCACAAGAAUAAAUAAAAUUGUGCAAAAUUCAAUAUCGAGCAAGAAAAAAUAAAAGUAUACAAAAUUCAAUAUUGAGCAAGAAUAAAUAAAAACUCACACAAAGACAUAAUCAUAAUAACUUAGCCGCAUGUAACAAUAUACAAGAAUACAAAA